AAACGACAGGCAAGCUGUAGCACACUCAAGUGAUCAAGCUGCUAGUCAGGCACACAUGAAGUCCUCUGGAUUUGUCAGACAGAGUGGAGGACAUCCGCUGUCAUCCUCACCAGUUCCUGCAGCAUCUGGCUCUUUUCAGCACAGUAAAAGAUGACCCUCUCUUGCUGUUCCCACUGGGUGUCAUAAACUCCAUGACUCCUUCCAAGAAAUGUUAAGCUAUGCAUCUGCCUUGAUCUGCACAUACCAUGAUAUUUCAAGAUCCACCCUUUGGGAGAAGGGGGAGCAACCCUAACAGGAGUCCUGGCCACAGGAGUGCUGGGCAAGCUGGAAGCCUGGCACACGAGGGAGAAUGGGAAGAAUGAGACCACAGAAUGACAGUGUUCCUGGUUACCAGGGAAACAAUCCUAAAUUGGAGCUUUUUUUUUCAAUCAGAAUAUUUGUUUUCAUUUGAAAAAUUUUGA
Long non-coding RNA from Pipra filicauda (Wire-tailed manakin), 461 nucleotides. RefSeq lists it as uncharacterized. Lineage: Eukaryota; Metazoa; Chordata; Aves; Passeriformes; Pipridae. The transcript is spliced from 4 exons. The record is from RefSeq and is a predicted model, not a curated record.